This 468-nucleotide ribosomal RNA is filed under the name uncultured bacterium. RNAcentral describes it as "partial 16S ribosomal RNA". It matches the Rfam family "Bacterial small subunit ribosomal RNA", at positions 28 to 507 of the family's 1533-position model. The record is from RNAcentral.
GACGAACGCUGGCGGCGGGCUUAACACAUGCAAGUCGAACGGAAAGGCCCUGCUUUUGUGGGGUGCUCGAGUGGCGAACGGGUGAGUAACACGGGAGUAACCUGCCCUGGACUUUGGGAUAACUUCAGGAAACUGGGGCUAAUACCGGAUAGGAGCUCCUGCUGCAUGGUGGGGGUUGGAAAGUUUCGGCGGUUGGGGAUGGACUCGCGGCUUAUCAGCUUGUGGGUGGGGUAGUGGCUUACCAAGGCUUUGACGGGUAGCCGGCCUGAGAGGGUGACCGGCCACAUUGGGACUGAGAUACGGCCCAGACUCCUACGGGAGGCAGCAGUGGGGAAUAUUGCACAAUGGGCGGAAGCCUGAUGCAGCAACGCCGCGUGCGGGAUGACGGCCUUCGGGUUGUAAACCGCUUUCGCCUGUGACGAAGCGUGAGUGACGGUAAUGGGUAAAGAAGCACCGGCUAACUACGUG